UCCAGAUGAACGCUGGCGGUCUGCUUAACACAUGCAAGUCGAACGGAAUCUUUCGGGAUUUAGUGGCGGACGGGUGAGUAACGCGUGAGAAUCUGCCUUCAGGUUCGGGACAACAGUUGGAAACGGCUGCUAAUACCGGAUGUGCCGAGAGGUGAAAGCUUAAGUGCCAGGAGAUGAGCUCGCGUCUGAUUAGCUAGUAGGAGUGGUAACGGCACCCCUAGGCGACGAUCAGUAGCUGGUCUGAGAGGAUGAUCAGCCACACUGGGACUGAGACACGGCCCAGACUCCUACGGGAGGCAGCAGUGGGGAAUUUUCCGCAAUGGGCGCAAGCCUGACGGAGCAAGACCGCGUGAGGGAAGAAGGUCUGUGGAUUGUAAACCUCUUUUGAUAGGGAAGAAGACAGUGACGGUACCUAUCGAAUCAGCCUCGGCUAACUCCGUGCCAGCAGCCGCGGUAAUACGGAGGAGGCAAGCGUUAUCCGGAAUUAUUGGGCGUAAAGAGUCCGUAGGUGGGUAACCAAGUCAGAUGUUAAAUAGUGAAGCUUAACUUCAUAGAGGCGCCUGAAACUGGUUGUCUAGAGUGUGGUAGGGGGUAAGCAGGGAAUUUCCAGUGUAGGCGGUGCAACAUGGCGUAGCAUCAUUGGGAAAGAACACCGGUGGCGAAAGCCGCUCUACUGGGCCUGGCACUGAACAACUGAGGGGAACGAAAGCUAGGGGGAGCGAAAGGGGAUUAGGAUACCCCUUGUUAAGGUCUAAGCCGUAAAACGGAUGGAUACUAAGGCGUUGGCCCGUAUUC
Molecule: ribosomal RNA, 795 nt
Filed under: uncultured bacterium
Lineage: Bacteria
Description: bacterial SSU rRNA
Rfam family: Bacterial small subunit ribosomal RNA
Source: RNAcentral